Molecule: long non-coding RNA, 480 nt
Organism: Serinus canaria (Common canary)
Lineage: Eukaryota; Metazoa; Chordata; Aves; Passeriformes; Fringillidae
Exons: 2
Source: RefSeq, a predicted model, not a curated record
GUGGCGUCGCGACAGAGACGGCGGCUCUCGCCUCGCUCCUGCUUCUAGCCCCGGCCGGCCACAGGCCCUGACACGUCCGAGUGGAUGGUAUUUUCCGGUUUUUUUUCUUUUUUUUUUUUUUCUUUUCUCUUUUUUUUUUUCUUUUAAUUCAGUAGUAAGUAUAUGGGUGAAGGUCCUGGAGGGAAAGCCAUAAGACGAGCGGCAUAAGUCGCUCAGCCUAGAGGAGACUGAGGUGUGUAUCUUCCAGGAUGUGCUCUGAAGAUUUCAGCAAAAGAGAAAGAGGGAGCUUGGCUCAACCACCAGAGCAGCCCUGCAGCCUACACCUAGGCAAUCCUGAACCCUCCCUUGUCUGCAAGACCCAUGUUGAGUUUCCCAGGCAGGAAAACUAUGCUCAGAAGUGGCACACUGAGAACUCUCCCCAGCCAGCCACAGAAUCAUCCUCGUGCCUGCUCCUGCCUUCUGAUUAAAUUACUCCUUUCA